Molecule: ribosomal RNA, 120 nt
Filed under: Musa acuminata subsp. malaccensis (wild Malaysian banana)
Lineage: Eukaryota; Viridiplantae; Streptophyta; Magnoliopsida; Zingiberales; Musaceae
Source: RNAcentral
GGGAGCGAUAAUGCCAGCAAAAAAUCUCCGGAUCCCAUCAGAACUCCGAAGUUAAGCCGUGCUUGGGCAAGAGUGGAACUAGGAUGGGUGACCCCCUGGGAAGUCCUCGUGUUGCACUCC